GAUGAAGAACGCAGCGAAAUGCGAUACUUGGUGUGAAUUGCAGAAUCCCGUGAACCAUCGAGUCUUUGAACGCAAGUUGCGCCCGAAGCCAUUUGGUUGAGGGCACGUCUGCCUGGGCGUCACAUAUCGUUGCCCGAUGCCUAUUGCACUGUGAUAGGAAAUUCUAGGGCGAAAGAUGGCUUCCCGUGAGCGUUGUUGCCUCGCGGUUGGUUUAAAAUUGAGUCCUUGGUAGGGUGUGCCAUGAUAGAUGGUGGUCGAGUUUGCACGAGACCGAUCAUGUGUGCGCUCCCCAAAAUAUGGACUCUUUGACCCCACACGCGUCUUUUGACGCUCAUGACGAGACCUCAGGUCAGGCGGGGCUACCCGCUGAGUUUAAGCAUAUCAAUAAGCGGAGGA
This 396-nucleotide unclassified non-coding RNA is filed under the name soil metagenome. RNAcentral describes it as "partial contains 5.8S ribosomal RNA, internal transcribed spacer 2, and large subunit ribosomal RNA". The stretch from base 1 to 122 matches the Rfam family "5.8S ribosomal RNA", at positions 35 to 154 of the family's 154-position model. The record is from RNAcentral.